RNAcentral lists this transfer RNA (84 nucleotides) under Bacillota bacterium. Its description in RNAcentral is "tRNA-Leu". It matches the Rfam family "tRNA". From Rfam's summary of the family: Transfer RNA (tRNA) molecules are approximately 80 nucleotides in length. Their secondary structure includes four short double-helical elements and three loops (D, anti-codon, and T loops). The record is from RNAcentral. Lineage: Bacteria; Bacillati; Bacillota. RNAcentral also lists the same sequence under 3 other names.
GCGGAUGUGGCGGAAUUGGCAGACGCGCUAGACUUAGGAUCUAGUGUCUACGAUGUGCAGGUUCAAGUCCUGUCAUCCGCACCA